AUGCUCACUUUGCCAGCACAGAUACUAAAACUGUAAUGAUACAGAAAAGAUUAGCAUGGCUCCUGCACAAGCAUGACAUGCAAAUUUGUGAAGCGUUCCAUAUUUUU
Small nuclear RNA from Zalophus californianus (California sea lion), 107 nucleotides. Lineage: Eukaryota; Metazoa; Chordata; Mammalia; Carnivora; Otariidae. The record is from Ensembl.